Molecule: ribosomal RNA, 403 nt
Filed under: Fusobacteriota bacterium
Lineage: Bacteria; Fusobacteriati; Fusobacteriota
Description: Fusobacteria bacterium partial 16S ribosomal RNA
Rfam family: Bacterial small subunit ribosomal RNA
Source: RNAcentral
UGGGGAAUAUUGCACAAUGGAGGGAACUCUGAUCCAGCGACGCCGCGUGAACGCAGAAGGCUUUAGAGUCGUAAAGUUCUUUUAUAUGGGAAGAUAAUGACGGUACCAUAAGAAAAAGCCCCGGCUAACUACGUGCCAGCAGCCGCGGUAAUACGUAGGGGGCUAGCGUUGUCCGGAAUCACUGGGCGUAAAGGGUUCGCAGGCGGAAAUGCAAGUCAGGUGUAAAAGGCAGUAGCUUAACUACUGUAAGCAUUUGAAACUGCAUAUCUUGGGAAGAGUAGAGGUAAGUGGAAUUUUUAGUGUAGCGGUGAAAUGCGUAGAUAUUAAAAAGAAUACCGGUGGCGAAGGCGACGUACGGGGCUCAUUCUGACGCUAAGGAACUAAAGCGUGGGUAGCAAACAGG